Molecule: ribosomal RNA, 253 nt
Filed under: uncultured bacterium
Lineage: Bacteria
Description: partial 16S ribosomal RNA
Rfam family: Bacterial small subunit ribosomal RNA
Source: RNAcentral
GACAGAGGGUGCAACCGUUGUUCGGAAUUACUGGGCGUAAAGCGCGUGUAGGCGGUUCGGUAAGUCCGCUGUGAAAGUCGGGGGCUCAACCCUCGGAUGCCGGUGGAUACUGUCGGACUAGAGUACGGAAGAGGCGAGUGGAAUUCCUGGUGUAGCGGUGAAAUGCGCAGAUAUCAGGAGGAACACCGAUUGCGAAGGCAGCUCGCUGGGACGUUACUGACGCUGAGACGCGAAAGCGUGGGGAGCAAACAGG